Molecule: small nuclear RNA, 106 nt
Organism: Cercocebus atys (sooty mangabey)
Lineage: Eukaryota; Metazoa; Chordata; Mammalia; Primates; Cercopithecidae
Source: Ensembl
UUGCUCACUUUGGCAGCACAUAUACUAAAAUUGGAAUAGUACAGAGAAGAUUAGCAUGGCUCCUGCACAGGAUGACACGCCAAGUGUGCAUGCUCUCUCUCUCUCU